This 227-nucleotide ribosomal RNA is filed under the name uncultured Bifidobacterium sp. RNAcentral's name for it is "partial 16S ribosomal RNA". It matches the Rfam family "Bacterial small subunit ribosomal RNA", at positions 111 to 339 of the family's 1533-position model. Lineage: Bacteria; Bacillati; Actinomycetota; Actinomycetes; Bifidobacteriales; Bifidobacteriaceae. The record is from RNAcentral.
UAAUGCGUGACCGACCUGCCCCAUACACCGGAAUAGCUCCUGGAAACGGGUGGUAAUGCCGGAUGCUCCGACAUGACGCAUGUCGUGUCGGGAAAGAUUCUAUCGGUAUGGGAUGGGGUCGCGUCCUAUCAGCUUGAUGGCGGGGUAACGGCCCACCAUGGCUUCGACGGGUAGCCGGCCUGAGAGGGCGACCGGCCACAUUGGGACUGAGAUACGGCCCAGACUCC